GACGAACGCUGGCGGCGUGCUUAACACAUGCAAGUCGAACGAAGCCCAUUCAGUAGCAAUACUGAGGAAGGUUUAGUGGCGAACGGGUGAGUAACACGUGAGAAACCUAUCCUGGUCUCUGGGAUAACAGUCGGAAACAACUGCUAAUACCGGAUGCCGUCGGAGCGCUGCAUGGCGCACUGACGAAAGGGUUACUGGAUCAGGAGGGUCUCGCGGCCUAUCAGCUUGUUGGUGGGGUAACGGCCUACCAAGGCAUCGACGGGUAGCUGGUCUGAGAGGAUGAUCAGCCACACUGGGACUGAGACACGGCCCAGACUCCUACGGGAGGCAGCAGUGGGGAAUCUUGCGCAAUGGGCGAAAGCCUGACGCAGCAACGCCGCGUGCGGGAAGAAGGCCUUCGGGUUGUAAACCGCUUUCAGAAGGAACGAAACUGACGGUACUUUCAGAAGAAGGUGCGGCCAACUACGUGCCAGCAGCCGCGGUGACACGUAGGCACCAAGCGUUGUCCGGAUUUAUUGGGCGUAAAGAGCUCGUAGGCGGUUCGAUAAGUCGGGUGUGAAAACUUUGGGCUCAACCCAAAGCGUGCAUUCGAUACUGUUGUGACUAGAGUUCGGUAGGGGAGUGGGGAAUUCCUAGUGUAGCGGUGAAAUGCGCAGAUAUUAGGAGGAACACCGGUGGCGAAGGCGCCACUCUGGGCCGAAACUGACGCUGAGGAGCGAAAGCGUGGGUAGCAAACAGGAUUAGAUACCCUGGUAGUCCACGCCGUAAACGUUGGGCACUAGGUGUGGGUUCCAACCAACGGAAUCCGCGCCGUCGCUAACGCAUUAAGUGCCCCGCCUGGGGAGUACGGCCGCAAGGUUA
RNAcentral lists this ribosomal RNA (861 nucleotides) under uncultured bacterium. RNAcentral's name for it is "bacterial SSU rRNA". It matches the Rfam family "Bacterial small subunit ribosomal RNA", at positions 28 to 896 of the family's 1533-position model. The record is from RNAcentral.